CCUACGGGUGGCAGCAGUGGGGAAUAUUGCACAAUGGGCGCAACCCUGAUGCAGCGACGCCGCGUGAGUGAGGAAGUAUUUCGGUAUUUAAAGCUCUAUCAGCAGGGGAGAAAAUGACGGUACCUGACUCAGAAGCCCUGGCUAACUACGUGCCAGCAGCCGCGUUAAUACGUAGGGGGCACGCGUUAUCCGGAUUUACUGGGUGUAAAGGGAGCGUAGACGGCUAAUCAAGUCAGAAGUGAAAGCCCAGGGCUCAACCUUGGGACUGCAUUUGAAACUCGGUGGCUAGAGUGCAGGAGAGGUAAGCGGAAUUCCUGGUGUAGCGGUGAAAUGCGUAGAUAUUAGGAGGAACACCAGUGGCGAAGGCGGCUUACUGGACUGUAACUGACGUUGAGGCUCGAAAGCGUGGGGAGCAAACAGGAUUAGAUACCCUGGUAGUC
This 440-nucleotide ribosomal RNA is filed under the name uncultured bacterium. RNAcentral describes it as "partial 16S ribosomal RNA". It matches the Rfam family "Bacterial small subunit ribosomal RNA", at positions 338 to 795 of the family's 1533-position model. The record is from RNAcentral.